UGCUUUAUUUUAAAAAUUGCAUGAAAUAUAUGGUUCCAUCUUUUCAAUUUGUAUUUCAGUGAUGGAGCAGGACGUACAGGAACAUACAUUGCCAUUUCAAACCUUCUUGAACGAAUGAAAAUUGAACAAGCAAUGGAUGUCUUCCAAGCCAUAAAAAUCAUUAGAGGAACACGACCACAAUUUGUCGAAAAUGCCGUAAGUACAUGCAUAAAAUACAAUAUCGUAAUACCGUCGGUUAUAAAUUGCAACAAUCGCAGCUAAAAACAACCUCGAACCCAGGCUCUCAUUCUGCGCUCCUCUUUAUGUACUCAUUCUCUGAAGUGUGCAUUAUUGAAAAAUUGUUAAAAGCUAAGCCUAUAAUUAAUAUAUUUGCUGAUGAAGACCAGGUUGUGCAUGAAUUAAGAUCUAGUCUUGAUGAAAAUCCAGGUAUCAACAGUUUUGCCAAACAUGUUGUGUAAGUGUUUCACAAAACGAAAAAUUUUUAUCCUUAGAUCCAGCCGACGCUAUGUAAACUUGAAUAAUAACAAAACUGAAUUAUUUUUUUCUUUAGGAACAAUAUCAGUUCUGUUACACUGCCAUAAUGACGUACCUUAAUGCUUUCAGCGAAUACGCAAACUUUGAAUAAAUAUAAUAUGACUGAAUAUAUCCAAAUAUCGGUCAACUUUGUGCAAUACUAAAAGUCACAAGAUGAAAUUAGUUUGGUUGGAUACGCUGCCGGAAAGCGGAAACCAGUCAGAUGCCAAAUACCUUCCAUAUCGCUUUUAUAUGAUGAAGUGAAAUAAUCUAUUAUAUAGAUGAAGUGAAACAAUCUAUUUCAAAUAUGUAAAUUUUCUUCAAUUGUCACGAAAUGCAAUUUCGGCAAUGCAAUGACGUCAAUGUAAAAUAGUUCAUUGCAAACGUUUUAUGAAAUUCACAGUUGUAGUACUGAAUAAAAACUAAAUAAUUCACAACAAUAUAAUUGUAAUCAGGGCCUUUCAGAGGGGGGAGGGCACUGGGGGGCAAUUUGCUCCGGGCCCCCAGUUUAAGGGGGCCCCCAAAUUUGCAAAAUUAAAAAAAAUAAUUUCGACCGUUUUUUUAAUGUCCGGAAAAAAAUUUUCUUCCCCCUCUCCCCCCGCUCGCCAACAUAUUCGGGAAAAAUAGGGGCCCCGGAACAAAAAUUUGCCCCGGGCCCCCGAAUUUCUCUGAUAGGCACUGAUUGUAAUUAUCACCAUAAACGUAUUAAAAAUGUAGAAGGUUGUAUAGAAUUAAGCUCUUAACUUAAGUGAUGCCCUCCUAUUGUAUGCAAUAUUUUUACAAUUCUCAAAACUAUUUAAUAGUUAACAUAUUUUUCAACGAUAUUGUAUAAUUGAAUGUUUGUAAUAAAUGUAAUUUGCCAUUCAUUUUAAUAAAUAUUUUUGAAUUUCUAAAAGUCAG
Non-coding RNA from Paramuricea clavata, 1413 nucleotides. Lineage: Eukaryota; Metazoa; Cnidaria; Anthozoa; Malacalcyonacea; Plexauridae. The record is from the annotation of a GenBank genome assembly.